RNAcentral lists this long non-coding RNA (22820 nucleotides) under Nicotiana benthamiana. Its description in RNAcentral is "long non-coding RNA (NBEN_LNC010374)". Lineage: Eukaryota; Viridiplantae; Streptophyta; Magnoliopsida; Solanales; Solanaceae. The record is from RNAcentral.
GACAUGAGAAAGUCAAAUUGGGCAAAAUCACUCUCUGACCGAGAGAUUGAGUGGGUACGCAAGUGUUGAUAGCUAUAAUACACCCCGAUCAAUAAAACAAGCUUUUAAGUUUACAACCCGUUAGGACAACACCUAGAUGAAGGUCAUAGCCCUAGGCCUUUUAUAUUAUUUGAAAAACGACCAAAAAAAAAAUUCAUAGUUUCAAGUUUUAGUUUGUAAUCUUAGUUCAAAUUAGACCUAGUAACAACCCAAGUUUGUGGAAGUGCAAUUUGAGAUAAUUCAAGCUCAUAAAUUAUAACAUAUAGUCCUAAAUCUUAUUUAUUGCUCCCUGUGAAAAAUCAUCCCUGGCUCCUUGUUGUGUAUUACUAUUGUAUCGACCGUUUUAUAACCUUAAAUAAAGGCGUGACUUGGACGAGAUCAAUUUUUGGCGUCGUUUCUGGGGAGCUAAAAAUGAAUUUAGCUAUAUAUUUGAUUUUAUGUGUGAAUUGUCUUCUUUUCCUUCUGUGUUACUGAUUUUUGUGAAUCAAUUAUAGGUCCAACAAUGAUCCUUAGCAAUGAUCAACUCAGAAACAUGCCUUUGGGGAUGUGGACGCUGAAGUUGACCAAGUUGAAGAGGUUACUCUUGAACCUCAAGCAAAUAGAAGAGGCCGAGUGCCUCAAGACGACAUCCUAGUUCAGUUCCACCCCCACCUCCACCAAGAGCGGCUCCAUGCCAUGUGUUGUCGAAUGAAGGGUAUGCAAGUGCAUCUCUCCCCACAUUAGGGCGAGCAACUUUUAUAUCACAAAUGUAAUGCUCACAUUGCUAGAGCAACGAGGAUUUUUCAUCGGGCCUCUAAGUCAAAAUACAUACAAACACUUGAAGGGGUUUGUGGACAAUUGUUUGGGGAGUAAAUAGACAAACGUCUUCGAGGAUGCUUUAAGGUUGAGACUAUUUCCUUUAUCUUUAUGGGGGAAACCCUAGGAUUGGUUAGAGAGAUUUCCAAAACAUUCCAUCCAUAUAUGGGAUGAGUUAGCGAAGAAACUUAUUUUCAAGUUCUUUUCUCCUGGCAUAUGGCUAGUCUUAGAGACGAGAUUCUAGCAUUCAAACAAGAGCCCAAUAACCCGUUGCAUGAAACAUGGGAGAGGCAUCGAACUAUGGUCAAAGAGUGCCCCAAUAAUGACAUGACGGAGGCUCUGAUUCAACAAACUUUCUAUCAGGAGAUCAAUACUACUCAGUGUGUGGUCAAUCAACUUGCCAAUGGAAAUUUCAUGUCAACGACGUUUGCAAAAGCUUGUGAUAUUUGAGAUGAAAUGGAGGAUACUUCAUCGGCAUAGCAAAGUAGGGCAAAUGUUCCUAAAGGUGAUCCGUACGUGAUUUACCUACAUAAAGAAUUGCAUUAUCGUGGGCAAGCCAUUGCCGAGUUUACCACCACAAUACAUCAAUUAGCCAAGGCUCAACUUCAACAAUUGCAAAGUCCUAAGCAAACCAAUGACAUGGAGGGAGUUAGUAUAAUGGUGAACAAGAGAAGGCCCAAGGGUCCAGAAGAGCAAAACUGUAUGGAUCAUUAUGUGCAAGAAGAUGGUGGGUUUGAUCAAGAUAAAUCAUGCAAUGAACAAGAGAAGGAAUUGCAAUACGUAAACAACAUUCAAGGGCAAGAAAAAACUCUCAAGCCCCGGAUCAACAACAAUGGAUACCUCAAGGUAAUCAAGGUAAUUGGAAUUCUAACAACCAAGGUAAUUGGAAUUCUAAGAAUCAAGGAAAUUGGAAUAAUAGCAAUAAUCAACAAAAUUGGAGUGGUGAAAAUAACCAAGGCAAUUGGAGUGGUAACAACCAAGGAUAUUGGGGAGGCAACAACAAAGGGGAUGUAACAAUAAUAAAGUCAAUCGGGAGUCAGACUUACAAAGUCCCCCGAUGUAUCAACAACCGAGCAACCUGCCUCCUUAUCCUUCCCAUGGUCCAAAUUCUUCCAACAAUGAGAUAGGACGAAUUGAGAAUACCCUUUCUAUUUCGACUUCUUUGAAAGGUGAUGUUCAAACAAAUGAUGGAGAAUAAUGUCGUUCUGAUGCCCAACUAGCCUCACACAAUACAUCAAUUUGCAACUUGUAAGUUCAAAUGGGGCAAAUCUCUCAAGCUCUAAACACUAGUCCUGAGGAGGCACUACCAAGUGACAUGGGGGUGAACCCAAAGGGUAGAAAUAACACAGGACAUUACAUGGUUGUUACUACAAGGAGUGGAAAAGGUGGAGAUGCACCCAUCUCAAGUCAAAGGAAACUUGUGGAUGAUGAGCAAGUGGUACAAAAAGAUGAGAAGCCGAAGAAUAUGGUGCAAACAAAUUGUGAAGUGCGGAUUGAUAUUCAUGAUAAUGUGAAAGAAGAUCAAAAGGAAGGGAACCAGUCUAGAGAUCACAUUGUUGACAUACCGAUCGGUAGUGCAAAUGUCUAAGACACCAAUGCCUAAGCCUCCUCCUCCAUAUCCUCAAAGGCUUUCCAAGUAGAAUGGCGAGAACCAACUCAAAAAGUGCAUUGAUAUGCAAAGUUUAUGAAGGAUUUGGUGACAAAUAAGCGGUCGAUGAAUAGUGAAACUAUAACAAUGACUCAUCAAGUGAGUGCACUUGUGCAUUCAAUGGCUCCCAAAUUGGAAGAACCUGAUUCUUUCACAAUCCCUUGUACCAUAGGAAGUGCUGAGUUUGCUAAAACUCUUUGUGAUCUUAGGGCAAGUAUCAAUUUGAUCCCCUAUUAGGUUUUCAAGACUUUGGAAUUGGUCAACCAAAACCCACAUCUACGAGAUUACAAAUGGCCGAUCGUACCAUGAAGAGACCAUUGGGAGUGAUUGAGGAUGUAUUGGUUCAUGUUGAUAAAUUCAUACUUCAAGAGGAUUUUAUCAUUCUUGAUUAUGAGGUUAAAUAUGAGGUAUCGAUUAUUCUUGGGAGACCUUUCCUUGCUAUGGGGAAGGAUCUAUUUAAUGUUGAAGCUGGAGAACUUACCUUCCGGGUUAGUGAUGGAGAAGUGAUUUUCCAUGUUUGUAAGUAUAUGAGGCAACCUAAUAAUGAGGUAUGCUCUUUCGUGGACUUGGUGACUGAUGUGAUUGUGGAUGAAACAAGUGCAGUGAUAAAUGUUGAUGAUACAUUGGCGGCUGUCUUGCUCAACUUUGAUGAUGAAACGACGGAGGGCUUCGUGGAAUGUGUGAAAUUUUUGCAAGGAAUGGGGUAACACACUUAUGAGCCCCGCCAAAUUGUCCGUGGAUCUUGAAAAUUGGACAAAUCCUCCUAGAAAACCUUCAAUUGAAGAGCCUCCUAUCUUGGAGUUGAAGCCAUUGCCUCCACAUCCUCGGUAUGAAUUUCUUGGUCAUUAUUCUACUUUAACGGUUAUUCUUUCCUUUUGUUUGACUAGCGUACAGGUAGACUCUAUAUUGGUGGUGGUACAAAAGAGGAAGAAGGCUAUUGGAUGGACAUUGGUGGAUAUUCAGGGGAUUAGCCCUGCAUUUUGCAUGCAAAAGAUUGGAUUGGAGGAAGGUGUCAAACCAUAUAUUGAACAUCAAAUGAGACUUAAUGAAGCCAUGCAAGAGGUUUUCAAAAAGGAGAUCAUCAAGUGGUUGAAUGUCGAGGUUGUCUACCCUAUUCUGAUAGUUCGUGGACUUCUCCUGUUCAAUGUGUCCCAAAGAAAGGGGGCAUGAUGGUAGUCACCAGUGAUAAGAAUGAGUUGAUUCUUACAGGAAUGGUGACUUGGUGGAGAGUGUGUAUGGACUAUCGUAAUCUCAACAAAGUCAUAAGGAAGAAUUAUUUUCCACUUCCCUUACUAGAUCAAAUGCUUAAUAGAUUGGCCGGUCGUGCUUUCUAUUGUUUCCUUUAUUGGUAUUUUGGCUACAACCAAAUUCUCAUUGCUCUAGAGGAUCAAGAGAAAACUACCUUUACAUGUCCCUAUGGUACUCUCAACUUCAAGCGGAUGCCAUUUGGAUUGUGUAAUGCACCGACAGCUUUUCAAAGGUGUAUGAUGGUGAUCUUCACGGACAUAGUGGAAUAUUACCUUGAAGUCUUCAUGGAUAACUUCUUGGAGGUCGAGAGUUCGAAUUUUAGAAGGUGGUAAACCCUUUGUGCAAGUUACUAGAAAAGGAUGCCAAGUUUGUGUUCGAUGAGAGAUGUAUGCAAGCAUUCAAGUUUCUCAAGCACAGUUGACCACUACCCCUAUGGGGCAUUUUGGGUCAAAAUUUUAAUAAAAUGUUUCAUCUGGUGUACUACACAAGCAAAAUCAUGAAUGAGGCUUAAAAGAAUUGCACGGUUAUCGAGAAAAAGUUGUUGGCCAUAGUAUUUGCAAUGGAAAAGUUUUGGUCGUAUCUUAUGGGGGCCAAGGUGCCCUUAGAUACUUGAUGAAAAAGAAAGACUCCAAAGCAAGGUUGAUGCUAUGGGUGUUACUACUUCAAGAGUUUGAUCUAGAAAUUGUGGACCGGAAAGGUAGUGAAAACCAAGUGGCGGACCAUUUGUACCAUUUGAAGGAGGAAGGGAGGCCUUGUAAUGGCCUAGAUAUCAAUGACUCAUUUACCGAAAAAGCAACUCCUUUCAGAGUUGGUAAAUGAUAUGUCGUGGUUUGGCGAUAUUGCUAAUUACCUUGUGACAUGAAUAGUCCCGUAUGAGCACUUUUCUAACCAAAGGAAGAAGCUCAAGAGGGAUUGUUUGGACUUCUAUUGGGAUGAGCCAUACUAGUUCAAGAUUUGCAUGGAUGGUGUGAUCCGAAGGUGUGUCCCGGAGGAAAAUCAAUUGAGUAUUUUGGAGGCUUGUCAUCCCUCUCCCUAUGGUGGCCAUCAUGGCGGGGCGAGGACGACUUCUAAAGUUCUUAGUUGUGGGUUUUAUUGGCCAACUUUGUUCAAAGAUACGGGUGAUUUUGUGAAGAGAUGUGACGAGUGCCAAAGAGCGGGUGGAAUUUCAAAGAAAGAUGAGAUGCCUAUCAAUACCAUCCUUGAGGUUGAUAUUUUUGAUGUAUGGAGCAUUGAUUUUAUGGGUCCAUUUGUUAGCUAGUGUGGGAACGCAUACAUUCUUGUAGUGGUGGAUUAUGUUUUAAAGUGCGUUGGGGGGUGAUUUUUUGAAGAUAUGUGACUAGUGUUAAAGAGCGAGUGGAAUUUUGAAGAAAGAUGAGAUGCCUCUCAAUACCAUCCUUGAGGUUAAUAUUUUUUAUGUAUGGGGCAUUGAUUUCAUAUGCCCAUUUAUUAGCUCUUGUGGGAACACUUACAUUCUUGCGGCGAUGGAUUAUGUUUCAAAGUGGGUUGAAGCCAUGGCUUUGCCCAACAAUGAGGCCCGGAGUGUUGUUGCAUUUCUCAAGAAGAGCAUUUUUACAAGGUUUGGCACUCCUAGGGCAAUCAUAAGUGAUGGGAGGUCUUAUUUUUGCAAUAUAGCUUUCGACACUUUGCUUUCAUAUUAUGGUGUCAAUCACAAGGUUUCUACCCCUAUCAUCUUCAAUCAAGUGGUCAAGUGGAAGUCUCCAAUAGGGAAAUCAAAAGCAUAUUGUCAAAAACUGUCAAUGCAAAUAGGACAGAUUGGUCAAAGAAGUUGGAUGACAUUUUAUGGGCUUAUAAGAUUGCUUACAAAACUCCGAUUAGUAUGUCUUCGUACCGGUUGGUGUUUGGGAAAGCUUGCCAUCUACCGGUUGAGUUAGAGCACAAGGCCAUGUGUAUCCGUAUCGGUUAGUGUUUAGAAAAGAUUUCCAUCUAUCGGUUGAGUAAGAGAACAAUGCCAUGUGGGCUUUGAGGAAUCUAAAUCUUGAAUGGGAUGUUGCAUCCAAUUUUUGUGUGGAGCAACUCAAUGAACUUGAUGAAUUCAGAUUCCAUGCCUACUCCAGUUCGUCCUUGUAUAAGGACAAGAUAAAGUACCUUCAUGAUAAAUAUGCUCGUGGAAAGGAGUUCAAAGUAGUUAAUUUGGUUCUCUUAUUCACUUCCCAAUUACGUCUGUUUCCAGAAAAGCUUAAAUCAAAAUGGAGCGGACUAUUUGAAGUUGUGCUGGUGACCCCUUUUGGUGCUCUUGAUUUGAAAACAAAAAUGGUGAAGUCUUAGAGUUAAUGGGCACCGGGUCAAGCAUUAUCUUGGGAAAAUUGAUGACAGCCACGUGGUGGCACUUCUUCAGUUCAAAUGAUGUGAUGGUAACUUGCGUCAUGCCGCGAUGCUUAAUCAGGAGCUUCUUGGGAGGCAAUCCAUGUGUUUUUAUUUCUUGUUUUUCUUUGAUUUUCUUUGUAGUAUAUGAUUGAUUUUUAGGCUAACUGGUUGUGAGAUGUUACAAUGUUGUGUUGAUGGAGUGUAAGACGUGGUGUGAAAAAUGUACAGGUUUCUCAAGUUGCCAGUGCGCCCGCACUACAUUCUGUGCGGACUGCACAUGUGAAGGUUAAAUGCUGCAUCUCUGAAGUUUGUCAGUGCGGCUGCACUACAGUUUGUACGGUUCGCACUGGGCCUCUGCGGACGUAGUCCAGUUUGUGUGGAUCGUAGAGAGCUACCUACUUAUGCUUGAACAAAAUAGUGCAGUGUGGACUGCGGUCCAUUUUGUGCGGUUCGCACUGGUUGGCGAGAAUGGGCCCCAGCCCUUUUUCUAUAAAUAGGGCUUGACGGUCUCCUUUUACUCUUUUCACAAUUUUAACUCUCAGAGCCUCAAAGACACUAUUCAAAACUUCUUCUGCUCGUAAUUAAUUGUUGGAACUUACUGCUUCACUUCGUCUCAUUAUCUGGUACUAUUAUGCUCUUCUUUAUUUUAUUUUUGUUUUUCUUAGGUUGUAUCUUUCCUCUUCCCGUAUUUUUCUUCAAUUGCUUAGGUUAGAGUAGUUAAAUUUUGGAUUCAUGUGGAAUUAAUUAGCUUAAUGAACUAGGAAAUGGUAUACGGACACUACUAUGCUGAUCAAUUAGAUUUAAAACAAAAAAUUAUGAAACCCUAAGUGAGUGUCGCUUCUGGGCACUCAAUGCGGACAAGAAUCGUUUUGUGUGGUCCGUGGUGCCUCUGCAAUACCAUUUUGUGCGUACCGCACUGAUGAAUCUAUGGUAAGCUGAACUUUGGGCAGUACGGCCGCACUACAUUUUGUGUGGACUGCACUGGCCCUUGUGCGGGCCAUACUACCACUUUGUGCGGACCGUAUGUUGAUACCCAAUUUUUUUCUAUAUAUUUCUUGCACCCAAAAUGCUUUCAAAAUAGUAUAUGUAUGCAUAUAUAAGCAUGCCUGGGAAUUUUGGUAUUUUUUCUUAAUUUUCAAAGAUUUUUAAAAAUCAAUUUAAUGACUACUUUUUGAUAAUAUAAAGGCCAAAAUUAUUUCUAAAUUAUUAUUUUUAGUGCACAAUGUAUUUCAUUCUCAUAUUUACGACAAGACAUAACUUUUUUUUCACAUUUUUUAUAGAUAUAUUUGGAUUUUUAAAAGCUAAUUGCACAAAUAGCAAUUUUGGCCUAUUUUGCAUUUUGCUAUGUUUUAUAGAUAUAAAAUUACUUUUAAUAUUUUUAGAUUGACAUUUAUAUGUUAUUAAUUAGUUAUAUGUUUUCAAUUUUACUUUUUAAAUUGUUUUAGCUAUUUUAUAAAAUAAAUUGGGAUGAAUUGGCUAUUUAAAAGUUGAACAGAUUUCGUUUAAAAUAUAGCCUAAAUUGCACCCCUAUUUCGGUCCAAUUUUUAACCCAAUUAAAUGACCCAAUACCUAUUAAACUACCCGACCCAGCCCAGACUUGAUUCUGAGCUGUUGAUCAAACGAGAUCAACGAUCCAGAUUAAAUUUCCUAAAUUAAAACCUAACUACCCCCUUUCCAACCCCCCAUUCUCUGAGAUCUCUCUCUCUCUCUCUCUCUCUCUCUCUCUCUCUCUCUCAUUAACCCUUCAUCUCUAAGUUCUCUCUAGAAACUUCCAAUCCUCUCUCUUCUCCGAUGGCUUCCAUCGUCAUUCCGGCCACCUCCACCCUCGCUCCUCUCGACCACCACUCACCAUGGUACUGUAUCUCGUUAUUUCUCUCUCAAACUCGAAGCCCAGAAGCUUCCGCCAUGGAAGACGGUCGAUUGAAGCUCGCCUGAGCCUUUGUCGGCCUCUCCCCGGUGGUUUUCACACGAUUAUGCUCUAUCUUGUGUUAAUGAUGAGUUUCACGACCAGGUUCCACCUUUCUUUAACUCGUAUGCAAACCCUAAUGUUUCAUUCAAAUCUCUUUAACUUUUGUGGUGUUAGAACGAUUUUUUAGUUUAAUCUUUCUUUUCUACUCUAUUUCUCACUCAGUAUUUCUUAUUAGUAAAUAGAAAAGAAAAGUAAUGAAUAGCAAGAUAUUUGAUAAAACGAAAAAUGCUUUUGAUUAAAUUCAUAAAUGUUCAAAACAUCGAAGCUCUUUUGGAAAGUAAAGAAAAAUGCGGAUAAUAAAGAAAACAACUAAAACAAAGAUGCAUGAUGCUUGUUCAGCCUUGCUACCCCGAAAGUUUCCGGGCGAUGGUGGUCCUGAUUGACCAGUUGGUAAGGUGCUCCCCUCGAUUCACAGCCUGAAUGGAAGGGCCUUCCUUCCAUUCCUCUUCAAAUCAGGUUCUUCAUUGCCGCAAGAGCCUUGUCUUCUUCUGACCCGUAGGGAGUGUCGGCUGGCUGAAAAGUCUGCUCCAACUGAGGUAUAGGGCGUUCCAAUGGGUAAUAUGGGCCGCGCCAUGGUGGUGACCAGUUUUUGAAUUCUUUCCAUGUGUAUUCGUACCCAGUCCGAAGGUAGUACCAUGUUUUUUCAAUUGGAUAGGUUUGGUGAUACCUUGAAGAUUCUUACCAAGCCCUUUCCCUGGUUCAUACCCACUCUAAUUUAGAAUGCUUUCAACCUUGUUUCUCCACCAGUUGUCCUUGUCCACUGCGUUGACCCGCUCAAUUUGAUGAUAUGUUUCUCCGCCUAUUCUUCUUCUGCCUCUGAUCAUUGGAAUGGUCUGGCGACUGUAUAUGGGGUUGCUUCCAUCGCCAUGGAUGAUUACUUCGUAGUGGUUCCAUUCGAAUUUCAUGGCCUGAUGCAAGGUGGAUGCUACAGCCCUAGCAACGUGGAUUCAGGGUCGUCCCAGCAGUAAGUUGUAAGAUGCUAGUAUGUCGAUGACUUGGAAAUCAACAUUAAACCAAGUGGGCCCAAUUUGCAAUAACAGGCUAUUUUACCCGAGGGUGGACCUCUGAGAACUAUCAAAAGCCUUAAUGUUGAUAGCCCCAUCUUUUAUCUCAUGUAAUCCUUUUCCUAACUUCUUGAGAGUGAUCAAUGGAUAUAUGUUGAGAUUAGAACCUCCGUCGACUAAGAUCCCGGUGAUUAAAUGAUCCUCAUAUUGGACAGUGAUGUGUAGUGCUUUGUUAUGACUGAGCUCUUCAGGUGGCAAUUCAUCCUCGUGGAAAGUGAUUUUGUGACUUUCCAAUACCUGCCCUAUCAUGUUUGCUAUUUCUCCUCCUGUUAUGUUGCUCAGGACAUACGCCUCGCUCAAUAUCCUCAUCAAGGCGUUCUUAUGCGCCUCGGAACUCUGCAGCAAUGCUAAGAUGGAAAUCUGCGCCUGAGUCUUAUUUAGCUGUUCAACAACUGAAUAUUCCUUAGCCUGUAUCUUUCUCCAGAGAUCACCAGGUCAAGUUUCGAUGGGACGUCCAUAAGACUGCUUGCUGGACUCAGCUAGGUAUUCUGGUGUGUAUACCUUGCCUAUUCUAGUCAUACCUUGCGCGGCAACUGCUUUACUAGUGCAUGCUUUUCCUUUCCUUCUUGCCUCGGCUGUGUAGUCCCAGGGUAUGGCAUUUUACUAAAAUGGGGUUAUGUCUGACAUGUUGACUGGAAUGAGCUCCCUUGGGGGCACCAUAGCAACUUCAAUUGGUGCGGGCGCCUUUGGAGUCUCGAACUCCACCUCAAUUGGUUUUGGCACUUUUGCAGGAGGUGUCUCGAACUCAAAUGGUACAGAUGUAUUCACCAUAUUUCCAUCAGACAGCUGGAUUUGCACAACAAUAGGAUUAAGGGUGGCUGUCGGUUUGUUGGGCUCAUCUCCUUACGAUAUCAAACCGAUCGACCCGUCGUGGUCAUAGUCUUCCUCAACCUCAAUCAUGUGGAUGCCCCCUCCUUUGUGGUCUGGUAGAGGGUUGUUACGAACAUUACGAUGACCUUGUUCUCAAUUAAGGUCUAAAUUUUGUCCUUCAACGAGCGGCACUCAUUGAUGGUAUGACUCUUCAUCCCCGAAUGGUAUACGCAUGUUUUAUUUUGGUUGAUCCAUUGGGAGGGGUUUUCUAGGUUUAUGGCUGGGAUGGGUGUAUCAUAUCCACUGGCUUUGAGCUUCUCAUACAGUUGGUCAAUGGGUUCAGCAAUAGCACUGUACUGUCUGGGUGGUUUGCGGUCAAAAUUUGGUCUUGGUCGUGAGAAGUUUUGGCGGGUAGGUGGUGAUGGAUAGUGAGAAGGUUGGGAGUCUUAAUCUUGGUAUACGGGUGCGGGUUGGGAAUAUCCUGGCAAGAUGGGCUGAUAUGUUGGUGAUUGAGAUGUUUGGUAGACGGGAUGUGGGCUUUGAUAGGUAGGUGAUGGUGCUUGGUAAUUUAGAGAGGGUUGGUAUGUGAGUGGGGUUGAAGGGUAGGGUUGAUAUUUCAUGGGAGAGUGGUUUCUCUGUGCAGCCAUUACGGAGUUUAUACCCUUUUUCUUCCACAUACCACCAGAUUGCAAUUCUUUGUUGGUGGCCUGCAGUGCCUCAAGGUUAGUAACCAUACCAUUUUUAAUCCCUUCUUCAAUUCUUUCUCCCAGUUUGAUGAUAUCAGCGAACUUCUGGCCCUCUAUCAGCAUCAAUCUCUCGUAAUACUGUGGGUCAUGAGCGCGAACAAAAAAUCUACUCAUUUGUUCUUCUUCCAAAGCUGGCCUAACCUUGGCCGCUUCCGACCUCCAACGAGUUGCAUACUCGUGAAAGUUUUCGGUGGUCUUAUUCUUCAAAUUCUGGAUAUAGAACACGUCCGGCACGUUCUCAGUGUUGAACCUAAAACGGUCCAUGAAAUCGGAUGCCAUGUUUACCCAACUAGUCCACUUCUUCGCAUCUUGGCUGAUAUACAAAGAUAAUGCAUCAUCUUUCAAGCUCCUCAUGAACAGUUUCAUGCAGAUCUUUUCAUCUCUACCAACUCCCACUAACUUGUCACAAAUCAUCCUGAGGUGAACCCUGGGAUCACCCGUACCAUCAAACAUUUCGAUCUUAGGAGGUUUGUACCCCUAUGGGAGUUUGACAUCAGGCUGAACACAAAGGUCUUCAUAAUUUAAACCCUCUACACCUUUAUUACCUUCCACUCCUUGAACCCUUCUAGUGAGAUUCUUAAGUUCAGCAGCCAAGUUUUGAAUGAGUGAGUCUGAUUCUGACACAUUUGAUAUGGACUGCGUGUAGUAUGGCACAGUAUCCACAAAGAUAGGGGUAUCUUGAUGAUUUGGAGCAUUUUGGGGCUCAGGGAUGCGCGGUGGAGCAUUUUUGCGAGCUUGGGUUGGAAUCUUCUGUGGAGGUGCAGGGACUUGAUUGUUGACAUCUGCAGCAGCAAGGGAGAUGGACAAGCUUGCCAAACUCCGGACCUGGUCCAGUUCCUCUUGAAACCUAAAGUUUUCUCCAAGUGAGCAGCAGUUUCUUUAGUGAUCGGGGUACCCUAAGAAGUUCCUUCAAUUUGCUUCUGGCCUAGUUCCUCUCGGAACCUUAGCAAAGUUUAUUCCAAAUGAGCAGCAGUCUCUUGUGAUCGGGGUACCCUGGGAAGUUCCUUCAAUUUCCUUCCUUGCUUCAUUAUCUCCCAUCUUUCGUUUGUUCCUAUUUCUGGGAGGACUCGGAGGAGGAGGAAGAGGACCUUAGAUCUUGUUGAGUAUGCUGAUUGUGCCAGAACGAACGAACUAACCUUUGGGGAGGGGAAUACAAAAUAAGAAAAAAGGUAAAAGUUAGUGCGGAUUUCGAGAAAGAAAACAUUGCAGUAUUUAAGCACAUUGUUGCAAAAUUAUAAGUCGUUUCCUAUUUGGGUGUCUCGUUGUGCCCGAGGUAGGCCUAGCAAAAAGUAUGAUUUGGAGAACUCGUAAUACCAAAUGCCUCAUUUUAUCGAUAGAAAAUAGAACGAGUCAAUAAAGAAAAAUUGUCACUAAUGGCCAAAGGCAUUAUUACAUCAAGAAAACAGUAAAGUCCUAACUACUUUGUCCCAGAAGGACCUUCCCCAGAUUCGGUAUCUUUGCCUCCCUCGUACUGUUUCAUCAACUCGCGCAGUCCCAGCAACAAGUAAUCCCGAGCCAGGUGCCCACCUUCAUUACCUUUAGCUAAUUGAUAGUCGUUGAUCCUUUUCAAAAACUUGCCUUCAAGCUCCACUAAACCUCUUUCCAAGUACCCUAAACAGUUAUAUGCGCGGACAACCAUGUCUUUCCACUCAUUGAUUACCUUUUCUUGGGCCUCUAGCAUUUCCCGAUGUUCACUUUCACACUCUCGCAUCCGUUUGUGCAGCUAAUUAUACUUAACCUUUGUUGUAGUCUCCUCAUAAAUAACCCUGUGACCGUGGACGAAAUCCGUUUUUCCCAAGCCAAUAUGAUCGUCUUCUAGCCACCCCGUGCAGCUGAUUAUACUUAACCUUUGUUGCAACUUCCACAUCAAUAACCCUGUGACCAUGGACGAAGCCUGUUUUGCCCAAGCUAAUGUGAUCAUCUCCUAGCCACCCCGGAAAGAGUGGCGCAUGCCCUGCCUGAUACAUGUCUGGCUUCAUAGAUUCCCUUUCCAAAAUGAGUUUGGAGUGCCACAUAUGCUGAGCCCGAUGUGUGGGCUAUCAUUAUCUUGAAAGUCAGCCCUGUAGUGAAUCAUCUUUUCCACCCUUGGUAUAAUUUUCUUUCUCCCUGCUUGCCUCAUUACUUGGAGAGGGACGUAAGGGUAAGUUCCUCUUAAGCCUAUUAGGACAAGGAAUGGCGCAUAUCUAGACCGAAUGAUAAACAUCUAUUGUACCUGCUCUUCUCUCAGAUUCCCUAAUAGUUCCACCCAUCCACUGACGUCUUCCGGGUGAGCAAACAUAUCCGACAUGAAGUGCAUUCGAUUUGGGUGAUGGAAAGCAAUAUGGUCAUCCCAAUCUCGUCGUAUGAUCUCUUGUCUAUACUCUCCUUUAUGAAGAUUCUUAAUGAGCCGAAGUAAUAAUAGAAAAUUGCACCCUUCGAAGUGAGGUGCCCUUUAUUGACUUUUUUCUUAGGCUCGGUACAGUUCGGUGAGGAUCAUGGGUGCUAUGUUGAAUGUUUGCCCGUCGAUACCCUCUAUUACGGCUUUGGUUACCAUGGCUAGUCUUGUAUGGAUUCUAGCCUUCUUCAUCGGAAAAACUNNNNNNNNNNNNNNNNNNNNNNNNNNNNNNNNNNNNNNNNNNNNNNNNNNNNNNNNNNNNNNNNNNNNNNNNNNNNNNNNNNNNNNNNNNNNNNNNNNNNNNNNNNNNNNNNNNNNNNNNNNNNNNNNNNNNNNNNNNNNNNNNNNNNNNNNNNNNNNNNNNNNNNNNNNNNNNNNNNNNNNNNNNNNNNNNNNNUACAUGAAGUCGAAGGAUAUGUAGGAGUCCUUCAGACUGGUCAGAUUAGGAUUCUUUUUGAGCCCCAUCAUCUUCAAGAACCCUCUACCUUUGCGAUUUUCUGGCAUAAGUAAUCCCGGGCUAUCCGAAGGAAUUCCGGGAUCCCCAAUUUCUUCAAAUAGCGGUGUCAUUUCAAUACCCCUAAAGCGGAACACGGACCGCUCACUAUCCCAAAACAUAGUAGCAGCUUCCACAAUCUUGUUAUUUGGCCUAACUUCCAGGAGUGAAGGAAGAUUUCCUAAGUGCUUGUGGACAAGAGACCGAUCACUACCAUGCAAAUCAUCACACUAACUCAGCAACUUUGGAUGAAUGUUUGAUACCAUAGCGAAUCUGGGGACCUCGUGCCUCAUUUUCCUGCAAAGUAGAUGUGCUUGCGGACAAGAGCCCGAUCAAUACCAUGAAAAUCAUCCCACCAGCUUAGCAACUUUGGAUGAAUGUUUGAUACCAUACUGAAUCUAGGGGUCUCGUGCCUCAUUUUCCUGCAAAAUAGAGAGUUACGCCCUUAACCCCACCGAACUCAACCAUUUAAAUCAAUAAUUAUAAAAAGGUAUUUAAUUCUCCAAAUCAAUGCACAUAACAUGAUUGUCCGUUUGGGUUUUGAGGAAACCCGAUGUACUUUGGUUUAGGCUAUCUUAAUGAGUCAUUAUGCGGACAACAUAACUGACUCGUCUAAGUUUGACCAUGAUNNNNNNNNNNNNNNNNNNNNNNNNNNNNNNNNNNNNNNNNNNNNNNNNNNNNNNNNNNNNNNNNNNNNNNNNNNNNNNNNNNNNNNNNNNNNNNNNNNNNNNNNNNNNNNAGGUUUCUGCUUUUGAAGUGCUAGACAAGGUACCCUUGAGCGGACAACUCAAGAGGGAAAGGCACGGAACCGUCGACUACACCGUUGAUCGACUGGUUUACUGCAAAUACGCCUUAGCCAUAUUUAAGGGUUUUUAAUAAUGGAAGAGCGCAGCCACUCAUUAUAAGCAUUGCUAUAGCAUUUGUUUGGCAUGAGUGGAAAAUGAUGUUGAAGGAUGCAAUUACAACAAUGGAAUACAUAUAUGUAUUUUCACGUUCAUACAAUAAUGAUAACAUUAGUUACUCGGAAUUUAAGACGCAAUUGGAGUAAAAUGAGGUAAUAAAGUAGUAAAACAGUUAAAGAAAAAGAAAGACACGAAGAAACAAGCUAGUAAUUGUGAAAAAAUAAUUAAAGCAAUAAAUAAAGAAAGCAAUAAAGUCACAAAACACGUAGUGGUAAAAGCCUUUAAAGAACAUCCCCAACAGAGUCACCAUGCUGUCGAUGCCCCUUUUUUCCCUAAAAAGAGCGAAAUCGGGUUUUACGACAUUAUGGGCAAAACAACUCUAUUUCCUAUUUGGGAUUUGGAUUAUGGAAUUUGAAGAGCCGCCACCUAAUGAUUAUAGUGCAUUAGGACACUUAAGAGAGAUUAUUUUGAGAAGAAAACCAGAGUUAGGGUAAGGGCUUGAGAUUAUCUCGAGGGGAAGGUGGUAGGCACCCCUCAAGAUCCACUAGCGUGGUUCUAGGCCGUGUUAAUCGUGACUUUAUAAAAGAUGAAACUAUUAAAAGAAGUAAGGUUCACACAUAUAACAUUCGUGCAACUUGAAAAGCUUUAAGGAAGAAAGAAGGACGUAAAUUUAAAAGAGAGUUGAUUUGGAAAAGCAUUACUAUAUUUAAAUAAAAGAAACAAAGAGAGAAAGGGUCCUAGGUUUAACUAUAAUAUGGAUAAUUCAAUGCAAUAUCUCGCACAUAUUCCCAAAGAGGGGUCGCUUUAUGAUAUUAUCGUAUUGUCGUCAUCUCUAUAUUCUACCCUUCCCACCCCUUAGAGGUUAUUUAAGCGUGUGAAUUGGUCACGAAUGCUUAUUACGUGCUAUUACCCUUCCCGUCUUAUAGAUUCUAGAGGGCAUUUAAUCCGAAAUGCUUGUCAUGAUCAUUGGUACCAGCUAUCUCAUUUAGAUAAGUUUCUUUUCUUUCUCUUUUUAACAGUAAUCUGGUUUUGGAUUUUCUUUAUCUUUAACUCUCAAGGUCAUUGCACUUCAAUUCUUUUGGGGUUUUGUGUCUCUAAGAUGUUUCAAUGUCAAUUUUGUUCUAAGAAAAUAAGAAAUGAUUUCAAAGCUCACUACCAGAUUCCAAAAUUGCAAAGCACGGUAUGGCCAGAACAUACCAAAGAUAGCAUGAUGUAAAGUAGGAUACAAGGAGUCACCGGAAGUUUCAUCGGUGGAAUUAUUGGGUAAUUUCAUGAGAGAUGCAAAGGUUCAGAUAAAGGGGUUAGAGGUGUAAAACAAUAGCAUGGGUAUAGAACACCCGGGUCGUCAAAGGUCAUGGGGUUUGAAAGUCAAUCAGAAAGUCAAGCGGUUUAGGGCCAGCUCGGGGAAGCCAAUCAAAACAAAAUAAUAUGGCAGAAAGAUCUUCAACAGGAAUGCCAUUAGCUAAUCAUCAUUUUAAACUGAUAAAAUUUUCUUUGAUUGAAACAGGGCAGAAAAAUUUGUUUGUUCCGGAGGAACUCUCUGUAAGGGAAGAGCAAGCACUAAUCACAUUUGACCCUCCUAGAAAAUGGGACAUAGUUUAAAUUUUAAAAUAAUUAUGAGUAGCAUAAUUUAGCGUAAAUAUACCCCAAAGGAAUAUAAGUUGGCUUCGAAGCUUGAAUGUUUAGGAUAGGAUUCAAUUAAGAGUUUUCAUGACCCUCCUAAAUAAUGGGACCUAGCUUUAAGAUUGUUGUUAGAUAACAAGAUGUAGCGUAGAUAAUACCUCCAGAAGAUGUAACUUAUAGUUAAAAUUGUCAUUUAACUAGGAGUUGUCAGGACCCUCCUAAAUAAUGGGGAGCAGUUUAAGACCUCUUAGAUAACAAUGUUUAGCGGAAGUAACACCUAUAGAAGAUAUAACUUAGAUUUAAAACUAUCAUUUAACUAGGAGUUGUCAGGACCACCCUGGAUAAUGGGAUUUAGCUUUCAAAUUCAAUGAGAUUUUCUGGUAACAUGGUUCAAUUAGCACUCAUAGAUGUGCCCAACUACCAAACUGGGGCAGAAAAUUCGUUUGUUUUGUCUUUUUUGUCGUAAUCAGGCAUCCACCUGGAAAGGAAGGGAGAAGAACACGCGUUUCAAGGAUAUAAAGCAGUUCAGGCUGGAUAGCUUGGAGAGCAUGGGAAUACUUUCAAGUUCAGCAAUCAGGAGCCCACCUGGAGAGCAUGGGAACACAUUCAAGUGCACCAGUCAGGAGCCCGCCUGGAGAACAAGGGAGUACAAUUUAAAUUUUAGCUUUCAAAUUCUUUGUUUUAUCUAUUUUGAAGUCAGGAGCCCUCCUGGAGAGCAUGGGAAUACUUUCAAGUUCAGCUGGAAAGCAUGGGAAUACAUUCAAGUUCAUCAAUCAGGAGCCCCCUUGGAGAGCAUGGGAAUACAUUCAAGCACGGCAGUCAGGAGCCCGCUUGGAGAGCAUGGAAAUAUAUUCAAGUGCAGUAGUCAGGAGUGUGACGACCCGACCUAUCAUCUUCUGUAUUUCAGCCAUGUUACCCCUGUAUUAUGCUUCCCCGUGUGUUGAUAUGUGUGUUUGGUGAGUUUGAAAUGUGUUGGGUUGAAAUUGGUUAGAAAUGAGACCAAUAGUCUCAUUAAGGAAAGCUUAAGUUGGAAAAGUCAACCGAGCAUUGACUUGUGAGUAAGAGGGCUCGGAAUGGAUUACCGAUAAUUCAACUAGUUUCGGAUGGUGAUUUAUGACUUAGGAGAGAAAUUGGAAUUCAAUUUGGAGGAACGGUGAAGAAUUAGGCUUGAAUUGGCUAAAGUUGAAUUUCGGCGAAUUCCGGUUGAUGGGUGAGAUUUUGGUCCGGGGGUCGGAAUGGAAUUCCAAGAGUUGGAGAAGCUUCAUUAGGUGAUUUUGGAUAUGUUUGUAAAUUUUCAGGUCAUUCGGACGUCGUUUGGUUGGGUUUUGGAUUGAAUGCGAAUUUGGAAAGUUAUAGUUUAUCCUCGAAUGAAAUUCAAUGAUUUUAGUGAUUUUUGAUGUAUAAUAUAGCAUUUUAUGGCCCGAGCAAGUUUGAAUGAAGUAUUAGAGUGCAUUUGUGCUUUAGGUUGAGGUCCUGAGGGCCUUGGGAUGGUGCCGGAUGGUUGAACGCGGUGUUUGGAGUUGUUGUUGUGGUGCGAAAAUGCAGCAGUUGUUGCAGGAAUGAUUUGCCCUUCGCGUUUGCGGGCAGCCUUCGUGUUCGCGUAGGCCUGGGGUUUCCUGGUCUUCGCGUUCGCGGAUGAGGGAUGCGUUCGCGUAGAGGUUUGGUCGAGUGAAGGGGUCCCAGGGCCUUUGGCCUUCGCGUUCGCGGUAGCGGAACGCAUUUGCGUAGAGGGAAAGGGCUGUGUGCAUCGCGUUUGCGGCUGGGCACCGCGUUCGCGAAGAAGGAUUUUUGGCCCUGUUGAGGAAGGCCUUCGCAGACGUGACUGGGCCUCGUGUUCGCGAAGAAGGGAGCGUCUGGGAAGAGAAGUUUUAUUUAAUAUUUCAUCCGCGAGCAAGGGCUUGUUUUCCUCCAUUUUUACAAAACCUUGAGAGCUCAUUGACGGAUUUUGAAGGGGAUUUCGACGGGAAGUGAUUGGAGGUAAGUCUCAUGGUCUUAAUACGUCAUUUUAUCGAAGAAUCAACCAUUAAUUCUCUGAAAUUGGAUGUAGAAGUUAAAGAACUAGGGCUAGGAAUUUUGAAUGUAAAUUUGGGAUUUGGAGGAGCAAUUAGACUCCGAUUUUGAUGAAUUUUAUAUGUACGGCUCAUGGCGAGACGAGGAUUCUGAAAAUGUGAAUAUCGUAAUUUUUCGAAUAGCAGGCUCGCGGCUCGGGUUUUGCCAACUUCGUAUUUUUGGGUGUAUUUCGAGUUAUUCCGAUUGGAUUAUGUUCCAUUAGCCGAUUUUGACGUAUUUCUAUUGGUUUUAAUCAGAUUUGGCAUCCGCGGAGGUAGAUUCUCAAGGGAAAGGCAUUGCGAGCUAGUUUGCGGCUGGCUUGAGGUGAGUAAUGGGUGUAGAUGAUGAUCCGAGGGUUUGAAACCCCGGUAUAUCAUAUUGUGAUGCUAUCAUGAGGCUAGACAGGCACUCCAUGGCUAGUGCGUGGUCAUAUAUGUUGGAAAUUGUGACUCGGUCUAAUCCGAUGGAUGUAUUGUUCUAUGUUGGAGAUUGCUUCGUGUAUUAUAUUGCUGAUAUUUGGGCUUGAUGCCAUGUUUGGGGCCUUGUGGCGACUUGUAGGAUCCUUCAGGGAUCGUUAUAUUAGAAUUUUCAUGAUUUGCAUAUUAUUUGAAAUCAGCCAGGUUUAAAUACUAUUUUUGAAAACUCAACCAUACUUAUACGUUUUGAAAACUCAAAUGAUUUCAAAUGAUAUUUCGGGCUAACGAGUACUAUCUCGCUAUUUUUGGACUGUAUAUAUUAUUUUAAAUGGAAACGGUGGUAACUAAAGACACCGUGUAUUUUAAAUGAAAACGGUGGUAGGUAAUGACACCGUGUAAUUUAACUGGAAAUGGUGGUAACUAAGGACACGUCGUAUUGUAAUGAAAACGGUGGUAACAAAGGAUACCGUGUAUUGUGAUGGAAAUAGCGGUAACUAUUGGCACUGUUAUGAUAUGGCGCUUAGGCUGUAGGAGCCCCUCCGGAGUCUUAACCCCCACAGUGAGCACGAGUACCCAUAUGGAUCGGGCUGCACGUUCCGCACUGUUCAUGCAGUGCAUUGCAUCUAAUGCAUUUAUUUAUUGUUGCUUAAUCUAUAUAUCUCUGAGACUGGUACUGUAUAGAAUUGCUAGAUAACUUUACUUUGUGUUAUUUCGUGUUUUCUUAUCUUCGGGUUUUUAUACAUGCUUAUUACUCGCUGAGUUGGUAGACUCACCCCAUAGUCCAUGCACCUUGUGUGCAGAUUCAGGUGCUCCAUAUGCGUAGAGUUUCUGCUGCUGUCUAUUCCAGAUGUACCAGAGUAUUGAGGUAGCUGCCAGCGUUCGCAGAACUUGCUUAGUCUGUCUCUAUCAAUCUAUUUCCCUUAUUGCUUUGUCAGACACUAUAGUUGCUUUCAGUCAGUGUAUUGGUACUUAUUAGAGGCUCUGUACUCGUGACUCCUUGGUUUUUGGAGGAUUAUUGUUCAGUUGUGUUUUCUUGUUAUAAAUUAUCCCUGGCUGUGAGUUUGAUAUUAAAUCUUGCUUUUUGUUCUUGAAAUCUCUUCUUCUUGGGAUGGAAUGCCAUUUGUGGUUUUAUUGGUGGGGCUUGCCUAGUCUUGCGGUCGGGCGCCAACACGACCGGGAUUGGGGUCGUUACAAGCAACCCGCCUGAAGAACAAAGGAGUACAAUUUAAGUUUUAGCUUUCAAAUUCUUAUUGAUAUUUGGUAAUGUGGUUCGUUUUACACUUACAUAUUGACCUUAUUCCUUUUUAGCCAAGGAUAUAUAGGCAACCUCAAAAGCAGGGUGCGAUCAAAUCUUUCAAAAAUGCUUCCCACGGAGUAUUCAAACGGGCAAAAAAUCGCUCUUACUUGCUCAUUUUAGCUUUGCCCGAAAACCCUUCGCGUUUCCGAGCAAAGAGGAGAAGCUGUGAGCACAUGAUUUUUUCCCUACAUGAAUUACUCCCAUAAAUUCAAAACAAUAUAAUUUCUUUUGGUGUUGGCAAUUUUGUGGAUUUUUGUGAUAUUUUCUGUUAAUUGUUUGCAUUUUUGUCUGCGUAUUUUAAUUAAUAAAAAAUACAAAAAUACACACUGCAUUUGCAUUUAGGAUUUAAUUUUUUUUAGAUUUAUUGGUAAAUUAUUGUUUUACGAAAUUGGAAAUCACAAAAAAUAAUUUAUUUUGGCAUUGUUUAAUUUUUAGCUUCGAAUUUUGAUUAGUUUUCCUUUAAUUUGGUAUUUAAUUAGUUGUGAUAAUUAUUAGAGUUAAUUAAUAUAAUUUGGUAGGAUAACUUAGAUUAGGUUAAUUUAGGUUUUAUUUUUAUUUUUAAAAGAAAAAGGAAUUAAAAAAGAAAAUUGAAAAGGGAAAGGAAUUGAAAUAAAGAUGGGAUGAAGAGAAGAAAAAUUGGGCCAAAAUUCAUUUGCAUUAAUCAGGGCCGAAGUAGUUCCCCCUUGUUUCAACACCCGUCUCAGCCCAAACAACCUAACCCGGUCCGGUCCCCACUAACACGAAACGACCCCAUUUUUCCACCCAUUCAAUCGUAGCCGUCUAGGUUCCUCUAAUCUAACGAUGGAGAACUAAGGCUUCUUUGAUAUAAGACUGUCCUAACGACCUCCCCCGUAGCCCCCUUCGUAUCUCAUGUCCCUUACCCCCCAGAAACCCUAGAACUUGCCGCCCCUGAAACUUCGCCAUCUCCGCCGGCGGAGACUCCACACACCACUCCGUUCCACCCAAACUUUACACCACAGUUUCUCCGUUUCCUCCUCAUCUCAAAUCCCCACAUAAUUUCCCUCAAAUCUCACUCAAAUCUCUUGAAUCUUGAUCAGAAACUCCAAACCCUAGCAUCGCCACAGUUCCUCCAGUGGCGACAAUCCCAAUCAACCCCAAAACACACCCUUGAACCCUCACCACCUCUUCUCCACUAAUCUGUGUUCAAUUGCUCUGAAAAAUCCCCCAUAAGUUUUUGAAUUUUAGGUUCAAGGUCCUGAACCCUGUUGCAUAAAGAUUGUUUGAGGAGUUAUUGCUCGUCCCUCGAUAAUUUUAUCUAAUUGCACGUAUUAAGAGCAAGUGGGUGAUAUUUUUGAAGGCGAACAUCAAAGGUUUGAUGUGUGUUGUUGAUUCGGUCCAAAUAGGUAAGCAUUUUGCACUUCUUUUAAGUUUUCUGUCAAGUUUGACUCAUUUUCUUCCUCGCCUCACUCUUUUGAUUUGAAGUUCAUGCUCAAAUUUUAGACAUGAGUUAGUUUUUGUGCCUGUUUUCUCCUGUUAAAUCUUGACCUUUCCAUUCUAUUUUUAAUGGUUAAUAAAAUAAGUGUUUUGGUUGGUUUUAUUUAGAUUAAAUCACUAUUUAGCUUAGUAUUGAUAGGUUUUAUGAUAUAGUAUUCUUAUUUAAAUGUUGGUGUGAUUGCUUGAAUCUUCGAUUCAUGUUUUAAUUUGUUUCCAGUGGCUUUUCGACAUUUUCUUUAAGAAUUGAUUCGUAGUUUGAUUUGUUAGAUGCCCUCUGUGUUUAGGCGAUCCUAUUUGUCACAUUCUCAAACCUAGGGGAGAUAAGUGAAUAAUUAGGAACUUUAAGGAUUCUCAAAGGGAAAGGCAUGGAUAGUAAUAUUUUGUUCAGCAAAGGGCAAUUUGGGGACUUCAUAUUCAGAGGAGAUCGAUUAUGUUAGUUAGAAGUUUCUAGGGGAUAGGAUAAACGUGAGUUUGUUAGGAGGGGUGAUUUUUAAUUCUUUGGAGGGGUAAGAGGGUAAAAAUAAUUUGCUUUGAGAGGGAUGAAAUGGGAAAUUACUAUUUAGGAUAAGGUUGCCUUAAAUAUCCCUAUAUAAUGACCCUUUUUCUCUUCAUUCAGGCAGAUUUUUGAACACUCUGAAAUCUGAGAGAGAAUUCCAGAAAAUACAAAAACAACUCCAGAAAAUUCUAUUGUUACAUUGACAAUUUCAGUUUUCCUUUCGGAAAAAACAAAGGUCCUUAUUGUGAUACUCAGAAUGAAUUGAUAUUUUAUUGUUGGUGCUUCUAAUUCAAGCUGUUUGGGAUUAAAUUUUCACUGAUUUUUGUUGGAUUAAGUUCCUAGGGUUUAAUCACUGGAACUUGUGGUGUUGGUUUGUUGAUUACUAUUCUAUUCUAGUCCCUCGCUUCUCUUCCUUUUUGUGCAAUUUUCAGGUAUUUUUCAGCUCUAUGGAUGUCACUUGAAGUGUAAUUUGAAGCAGAAAUUGGAAACAUGAAAUAGAAAUGUGAUUGUUUGUUUGACUUCUAUUUUGUUAUUCUUUCAAUUUUAUGACUAGAUUAUUAUAGCCUAGCAUAAGUUGUUCCUGUUACUGUAGUACAGUACUUGAAAUCAGUGUUAGGAUCGUUUCUUGUGUGUCGUAUCUUCAAGUGCAUUUUUGAAUUUGAGUCUGUAUUGGUUAGUAAGUCAGAUAUAUAUAUUUUCUUUUGAUAUGUGUGAGUAGCCUUUUAGCUUGGCAGGGGCUUUAUCAUUUUAAAUUGUUAGUUUGAUAACUGGACGUUUGAAUAGAUUAAAUUUGAGCAUGUGAUAAAAGCUGAAGUCAUGUAUUUAUUUUCUUCUGUGAUACAGUUUAUGUUCGGCAAUGGUUGAUGGUAAAAGGUGGAUCCAAUUUGCAGAUUGUUAAUGGUUUAUAUUGAUUUAUGAUCACGCAUGUGUAGUUAUGAUUUGGUAAUAAAUUCUGAAUAAAAAAAGUAGAUUGGUAACCUAGUAUGCUUGAUCAAGAAUUCACCGCCUAAUUUUUUUUAAUUGGCUUUAAAAUAUUUUUUCAAAGUUUAAGAAUUUGAAUGUUUGAGUGCC